AGUAUCGGUCAGCAUGUCAAGGCCUUAAAUCAAGAAAAUGUUUUCUAAUAUCUACAGAGAUACUCACAGGAACACCUCAGCAAGUGAGAGUCCAAAAGUGGCAGGGUAAAACCCGGAACCUUAAUCAGUGGCUGAUGCUGGAUGAGAGAUUCCCUCCUGGGCACACAGAAGAUUGGGUGACUUGGAAGGCACUGAACAGACUGCGGUCUGGCACCAUGAGAUGCAGAACCAACCUUAAGAAAUGGGGCCACAAAGUGGAGUCCACAAAAUGUGAGUGUGGAGAAGAGCAAAAACCACAGACCACCCAUUACAAUGCAGCCUGAGCCCUGCCACAUGCACAAUGGAGGACCUUCUUACAGCAACACCAGAGACAUCUCAAGUGGCCAGCUACUGGUCAAAGGACAUUGAGUAGAAUGCCAAGUUGUUGUUUUUAAAAAACUUUGUUUUCAAAUACAUUACAACUUGUACCCUCAGUUCGCUUCUGACAGGAUAAAUAAAACUCCGUGAAUGAGUGAAAACAGGAGGCACAGAAUGGAAAAACAGACCAGGCUCAUGUGUCUUUAGGAGCGGAGCGAAGCUAAGCGGCCUCUCGCCACAACUAGUGCCUGCAUGAGCGUGAUUUUUAAUGGGGUCAAUAGCUGGGCGGAUGCAAGGAACUGUUUACGUCCCACAAGGUAGUGAUAGCUGACUCCGUGCUCAGCAAAACCCUCUUUGGGUCUCGGGCAGGGCGAUGCCUGGAAGACCUCGAACUUGCCCUUUCAGCCCCGGGGAAGUUUGGCCUCCCCGCCACAGGCCCCAAAGGGCAGAGAAGGAGACCCCAGGACCCUGUUGCGCCCCGAAGGCUGACAUUUGUGCCCCGCCUCACGCUUUGGAGCAGGGCAAGGGCUUGUUCAGAUGCGUGAGACAUCCUCUUCCUUUCAGAAAUCCCACGGGGAAAGGAGCAAAAAAUAAAAAAAGGACAUUAAUUCUGGAUCCCUUCAGGAACAUCAAGCGGCGAGCUCUCCUUUAAUCUCUGCUUUCCGUAUCGUUGGAGACGGAUGCCAGCAGCAGGCUCCAAGUUGCUCAGAUCUCUGGAUAGAGUGGAUAAUAGAGCAAUCGCAUCCUUCCCGAUCAGUUCUUCAUCUCUCUUGCUGCCUCUCUCUCUCCUUUCCCCCGCCCCCUCUAUUUCCCAAAGAUGCCCCUGCCUCCCGCUUUGGGGAAAGGGGUGGCGGCGCUUUAGACCGAUCCAUUAGGCUCCAAGAGGGGGGCUUCCUCUCCACACACAUACACACACACAGAAAGGCGGGCGAGCUGACGGGGCCGCUCUCCUUGGAGUGCGAGGAGGGGCGGCGGCAGGAGCUGAACAAAGCGGAGGAAGCGGCGGGGCUGGGCGGGAGCCGAGGCGGAGGAGGAGGAGGAGGAGGAGGAAGAGGAGAGUCGUCGUCGUCCCCCCCCCCCCCCCCCACCCGCCUGGUCUUCCCGGGGAGAGGCCUCUCGAGCUCGCGCCGCGCCGAUAGCAGAGAGAGCACGGUGGGCAAAGCCGCCGCGCUCUACCUCUCCCUCCCUUCCUCUCUCUCUCUCUUCUUUGCUGGCUGCCUCAAGUUGGAACCGGGCUUAGUGCUCCAAGGAGAGCGGGGGCCAGGCUUCGACGGGGCAUCGCGCGGCGCCCACCCGACCCACCGCCCAGAUUGGAGGGCAUCGUCGGCGUCUGCCUCUUCUCUGGCGGCGGCGAGGACAGCUCCUCCCUUGGGAAAAAAAAUGGAGAGCCAGACGGCAACUAUAAGCGCCCCCCCCCCCCAAUCAAAGCCCUCCCAACAACUGGCCAUGCCACGUCUGCUGAAAAACCUCCAGAGAAGGAGACUCCACCAGACUCUGGGGCAGCAUAUGUCACUGUCUGAAACAACUUGAAGGCACACAACAACAACAAUCCCAAUUGACUUGACUCUCUCACCAGCCAAAAGUAGGCCCACACCUCCCAUUGAAAGAUUUGUAUGAUUAAAUUGGUUAAAAUUGUUCUUUGUUUUAUAUGUUGAAUGGUUCUUUCAUGGGUUUUUUUUGAACUAUGAAUAAGACUAAUGCAGUGUGCUUAAGAAUGUGUUCAUUUUUUUUUCUCAACUGUAGUCUGGUCUCCCAACAGGCGGAGGGACCGUGAACUGGUCCUCAUCUUAAAAAAAUUUGGACACUUCUGCCUUAACCCCUCCAUAUGAGUUCCCUCUGAAGCUGCAUGCUUGCUGGGAAAGGAUGGCCAUCCUGGAUAGGAAUUUCCAAAUCAGUCCAUUCUUCUGGUAGAAGUUCCAUAUUGAGUCUCUCCUCCCCCCUUUUUUUUAUUAGAUCAUCUCUUUUGUGACAGGAGUGCAUGGGUACUUCUUCCCUUUAUAUUGUGCUCUGCAUUUCCCUUAGCUGUCUUUAUUUAUAUUUAUUAUUUAAAGCCUUUUUACUACACUCAUUGGUCAUAAAGGCUCCUCAAAUUGGUAUAGAAACAUCAGCAGUAAAUUUCAGUCUAAAGACAUCUCACAAUGAAAAAGUAAUAAGGAGGAAGAGAAACACAAAACUGGCUACAAACAGCCAAAGUGAGAGUUCUUCAAGCAGGUUUGGAAACUGUUUAGCUAGUUUGAUGCAAUGACCCCUUUUCAUGACAAUUUCAGCAGGAAUGAAAAAAUAGCAUUUUUCUUCUCUGCUUGGUUUCUUUAAUUUCUGCUUUUUCCCUCUUUCAUUUAUGACUCUUUCUCUCCACCCAUUC
Long non-coding RNA from Anolis carolinensis (green anole), 2719 nucleotides. NCBI's taxonomy places the organism in Eukaryota, Metazoa, Chordata, Lepidosauria, Squamata, Anolidae. The record is from Ensembl.